This is a long non-coding RNA of Hydra vulgaris (swiftwater hydra), 258 nucleotides long. RefSeq lists it as uncharacterized. NCBI's taxonomy places the organism in Eukaryota, Metazoa, Cnidaria, Hydrozoa, Anthoathecata, Hydridae. The record is from RefSeq and is a predicted model, not a curated record.
UAUCUUAAAGAUAUUUAGAUCAGCAAUAGCAAGAUUUUCCUGAGGAAAGAGAUGAUUUCAAUAUAGUGCAAAGCCAAGAUGGCGCAUGUGUUUUUCCGCAGAAAAGAAAAAAGUUGUUUUGCCAGAGACACCUGCAUUAAUUUCCCUUAUAAGAAAAGUUACUAAAAAAGAUUCCUCAUCGAAUGGAAAGUCUCCCAUUACUGAGUAAGAAUAUAGAAUAGAAAUUCAGAAGAAAGUUAUAUAUGCAGUGUUAGAAAU